RNAcentral lists this ribosomal RNA (440 nucleotides) under uncultured bacterium. RNAcentral's name for it is "partial 16S ribosomal RNA". It matches the Rfam family "Bacterial small subunit ribosomal RNA", at positions 338 to 795 of the family's 1533-position model. The record is from RNAcentral.
CCUACGGGUGGCAGCAGUGGGGAAUAUUGCACAAUGGGGGAAACCCUGAUGCAGCGACGCCGCGUGAGUGAAGAAGUAUCUCGGUACGUAAAGCUCUAUCAGCAGGGAAGAACAUGACGUUACCUGACUAAGAAGCCCCGGCUAACUACGUGCCAGCAGCCGCGGUAUUACGUAGGGGGCAAGCGUGAGCCGGAUUUACUGGGGGUAAAGGGAGCGUAGACGGCAGGACAAGUAGCGAGGGAAAUCCCGGGGCUUAACCCCGGAACUGCUUUGGAAACUGUGCGGCUGGAGUGCAGGAGGGGUUAGCGGAAUUCCUAGUGUAGCGGUGAAAUGCGUAGAUAUUAGGAGGAACACCGGUGGCGAAGGCGACUUACUGGACUGUAACUGACGUUGAGGCUCGAAAGCGUGGGGAGCAAACAGGAUUAGAUACCCGAGUAGUC